RNAcentral lists this ribosomal RNA (488 nucleotides) under Eusattus reticulatus. Its description in RNAcentral is "eukaryotic LSU rRNA". The record is from RNAcentral. Lineage: Eukaryota; Metazoa; Arthropoda; Insecta; Coleoptera; Tenebrionidae.
AGAGUACGUGAAACCGUCCAGGGGUAAACCUGAGAAACCCGAAAGGUCGAAAGGGGAGAUUCAGCGUGUCUCGGCGGCGGCGCCGGACGGUCGUGCGACGGCAGGCGUACGCGUCUGCCGCACCUUCCGUUCUACGCGAACCGCUGCCGAACGCGUGCACUUCUCCCCCUGUAGGACGUCGCGAUCCGUUGGGUGCCGGCCUAAGGCCCGCGAUGGAGCCCGUCCGUGGACGGUCCCCGCCGUUCCGGACGAACUCGCGGUGUUUUCCCGGUCGGCUCGCUCGACGGUAUACAGAUGGCGCGGGGCCGCUGCCAAACAGAAAAGUUAGCGUCCGACCGGCGGCAAGCGCGCUCGUCGCGACGGUGAUCGGACCCGGUGCCGGUCCCGUCCCCGAGUGGCUGUUGGCCGCCGUGCUCUUGGACAGACCCCGAUAAAUGAAACGCCGAUCUGCGACGCUAUAGCUUUGGGUACUUUCAGGACCCGUCUUG